Molecule: long non-coding RNA, 345 nt
Filed under: Lynx canadensis (Canada lynx)
Lineage: Eukaryota; Metazoa; Chordata; Mammalia; Carnivora; Felidae
Description: lncRNA (ENSLCNG00005017562.1)
Source: RNAcentral
GGGGGUGGUGCCUUCCUUCCCGCUCGGCCCUUCCUGACGCACCCGCGGGCAGGAUGCGUCCGCCUCCCAAGACCGGCCUGGAAUCGCGGAGGGAAUCCCAGCGGUGGGAAAGCCGGCUGGGGUCGGAGCACCCCUCCCCAGUAUCCACUCCUUGUGAGACCCGGGCAUCCGAAAGUUGGACAUUACUGCCCAGCCCUCCAUGACCACCAAUGCUCCCAAGGGCCUGAAGACCCCGUGAGACGUGACCCCACUUCCUUCUCCAAUGUCACCUGACCUGCCCUACUCUGGCCACAAUGACCUGAUUUUGGUCCUCCUUGUCACCUCCAGCCACAGGACCUCUGCACC